CUCUAUAGCUGGUGCUUAAGAGCCUUCCAAUGUAGCAUUGAUUUGUUACCAAGAUGCUUUCUUUACACCAUUCAACAUACCUUGGGAUGCCAACUCACGGAAAACAAUACGAGACAUUCGAAAGACCUGAUAAACAGCACGAGGGCGACCCGUAAAAAUACACCUAUUUCUCACUCGUGUAAAAGAACUGUUUCUCGGCAACUUAGACAGCUUGUAUUGGAAUUUCUCACGAAUUUCCGUUGGAAGCUGAGGAUCUCUAACAAGCGCUUUGAAAAGAUUUCGUUUCAAUUCAAAGCAAGCAACCUAAGAUGAUUAUCCUUUAUACAACGAUUCUCCUCGUACACUGACAUCUUGCAAAGUUUUCCCCCGUGAACAGUAGAUCAGCUAGGGUUUUAGCAG
Molecule: unclassified non-coding RNA, 399 nt
Filed under: Hevea brasiliensis (rubber tree)
Lineage: Eukaryota; Viridiplantae; Streptophyta; Magnoliopsida; Malpighiales; Euphorbiaceae
Source: RNAcentral